CUAAGUAUAGCAUCUAUACAGUGAAACUGCGAAUGGCUCAUUAAAUCAGUUAUCGUUUAUUUGAUAGUACCUUACUACUUGGAUAACCGUGGUAAUUCUAGAGCUAAUACAUGCUAAAAACCCCGACUUCGGAAGGGGUGUAUUUAUUAGAUAAAAAACCAAUGCUCUUCGGGGCUCCUUGGUGAUUCAUAAUAACUUAACGAAUCGCAUGGCCUUGUGCCGGCGAUGGUUCAUUCAAAUUUCUGCCCUAUCAACUUUCGAUGGUAGGAUAGUGGCCUACCAUGGUUUCAACGGGUAACGGGGAAUUAGGGUUCUAUUCCGGAGAGGGAGCCUGAGAAACGGCUACCACAUCCAAGGAAGGCAGCAGGCGCGCAAAUUACCCAAUCCCGACACGGGGAGGUAGUGACAAUAAAUACUGAUACAGGGCUCUUUUGAGUCUUGUAAUUGGAAUGAGUACAAUUUAAAUCCCUUAACGAGGAACAAUUGGAGGGCAAGUCUGGUGCCAGCAGCCGCGGUAAUUCCAGCUCCAAUAGCGUAUAUUAAAGUUGUUGCAGUUAAAAAGCUCGUAGUUGAACCUUGGGCCUGGCUGGCCGGUCCGCCUCACCGCGUGCACUGGUCCGGCCGGGCCUUUCCUCCUGGGGAGCCGCAUGCCCUUCACUGGGUGUGUCGGGGAACCAGGACUUUUACUUUGAAAAAAUUAGAGUGUUCAAAGCAGGCCUAUGCUCGAAUACAUUAGCAUGGAAUAAUAGAAUAGGACGUGUGGUUCUAUUUUGUUGGUUUCUAGGACCGCCGUAAUGAUUAAUAGGGAUAGUCGGGGGCAUCAGUAUUCAAUUGUCAGAGGUGAAAUUCUUGGAUUUAUUGAAGACUAACUACU
RNAcentral lists this ribosomal RNA (874 nucleotides) under Pseudogymnoascus sp. Its description in RNAcentral is "SSU rRNA". It matches the Rfam family "Eukaryotic small subunit ribosomal RNA", at positions 59 to 944 of the family's 1831-position model. The record is from RNAcentral. Lineage: Eukaryota; Fungi; Ascomycota; Leotiomycetes; Thelebolales; Thelebolaceae.